AUUGAACGCUGGCGGCAUGCUUUACAUAUGCAAGUCGAACGGUAACAGGCCUUCGGGUGCUGACGAGUGGCGAACGGGUGAGUAAUGCAUCGGAACGUGCCCAGAGGUGGGGGAUAACGCAGCGAAAGCUGUGCUAAUACCGCAUGUGAUCUGAGGAUGAAAGCGGGGGACCAAGCAGCAAUGUUUGGCCUCGCGCCUCUGGAGCGGCCGAUGUCAGAUUAGGUAGUUGGUGGGGUAAAGGCCUACCAAGCCGACGAUCUGUAGCUGGUCUGAGAGGACGACCAGCCACACUGGGACUGAGACACGGCCCAGACUCCUACGGGAGGCAGCAGUGGGGAAUUUUGGACAAUGGGCGCAAGCCUGAUCCAGCAAUGCCGCGUGCGGGAAGAAGGCCUUCGGGUUGUAAACCGCUUUUGUACGGAACGAAAAGGCUCUGGCUAAUACCUGGGGCUGAUGACGGUACCGUAAGAAUAAGCACCGGCUAACUACGUG
RNAcentral lists this ribosomal RNA (492 nucleotides) under uncultured bacterium. RNAcentral describes it as "partial 16S ribosomal RNA". It matches the Rfam family "Bacterial small subunit ribosomal RNA", at positions 30 to 507 of the family's 1533-position model. The record is from RNAcentral.